AACGAACGCUGGCGGCAUGCCUAACACAUGCAAGUCGAACGAAGGCUUCGGCCUUAGUGGCGCACGGGUGAGUAACGCGUGGGAAACUGCCUAUUGGUGGGGAAUAACGACGGGAAACUGUCGCUAAUACCGCAUAAGCCCUUCGGGGGAAAGAUUUAUCGCCGAUAGAUGUGCCCGCGUCCGACUAGCUAGUUGGUGAGGUAAUGGCUCACCAAGGCGACGAUCGGUAGCUGGUCAGAGAGGAUGAUCAGCCACACUGGGACUGAGACACGGCCCAGAAUCCUACGGGAGGGAGCAGUGGGGAAUAUUGGACAAUGGGCGAAAGCCUGAUCCAGCAAUGCCGCGUGAGUGAUGAAGGCCUUAGGGUUGUAAAGCUCUUUCGGGUGGGACGAUGAUGACGGUACCACCAGAAGAAGCCCCGGCUAACUUCGUGCCAGCCGCCGCAGUAA
This 449-nucleotide ribosomal RNA is filed under the name uncultured bacterium. RNAcentral's name for it is "partial 16S ribosomal RNA". It matches the Rfam family "Bacterial small subunit ribosomal RNA", at positions 29 to 523 of the family's 1533-position model. The record is from RNAcentral.